This is a non-coding RNA of Pelobates cultripes (western spadefoot toad), 386 nucleotides long. NCBI's taxonomy places the organism in Eukaryota, Metazoa, Chordata, Amphibia, Anura, Pelobatidae. The record is from the annotation of a GenBank genome assembly.
GCCCAGAUGACCUGUCGAGGAAGGUUUUUGCGUGUCAAGUCAGUCAGGGGUUUGGCCAGGGCACUAUAAUUGGGUAUGAAUUUUCGGUAGUACCCUGUAGUACCAAGGAAGGCUAGCACUUGGGUUUUUGUUUGGGGGGGGAUAGGCCACUUAGCUACUGCUUCAAUUUUUGCUGGUUAAGGCUUUUUCUGUGCACUCCCUACCCGCUGCCCCAGGUACUGUACCUCUGCCAUCCCGAUGUGACACUUACUGGGCUUUAGCAACCCUGCCUCUCCGAUACGGUCAAUGACUGCUCCAAUAUGUCACAGGUGGUCUGACCAGGUCUGGCUAUAGAUGGCGAUAUCAUCCAGGUAUGCACAUGCAUACUCCUGAAACCCAUCCAGUAG